Long non-coding RNA from Phyllostomus discolor (pale spear-nosed bat), 3165 nucleotides. RefSeq lists it as uncharacterized. NCBI's taxonomy places the organism in Eukaryota, Metazoa, Chordata, Mammalia, Chiroptera, Phyllostomidae. The record is from RefSeq and is a predicted model, not a curated record. The transcript is spliced from 3 exons.
CGCUUUUUAUUGUUCCGUUUUCAAGGCUUAUUUUAAAAAACCUGGGCAGUGGUAACAGGAACGGUUCGACGACAUGGUAGUUUGUAUUAAGCUUAUGUUAUUUGUGCAGUAGUAUACAGCCGUUAGUUUUGAAACUCGCCAAAGGAUUUUUGCCCGUCAUUUCAGAAAGAAUCCUUCCUUACUGCUUUGUACAGUGGCCCGAACGUUCAAAAUUGUUUAAUUUGCCUUAAGCCAGUUGCUUAGCAUUUCUGAUGAUGGUUUUUUAAAUAAGGUAAAAAAAUACAUGCAUCCUGCUGCCUUUCUUUUUUAAGUCUUCGAUACAAGAGUUGACUUAAUACCAACAUUGGUUAAAACAUGGACAUGUGGCCUGUUUGCUUUUCCGCAAACUGGUGUUAAUGUGGGGGUGCUGGUAUGAAUGUGAUGCGCCCACAUCACAACUCGGUGCGGAACUUUCGCCUAGGUUCUUCCACAAAUGCUUUGACAGUUGAAUAGUAAAUAGUGAGCCAAGGGAAUACCUGAUGGGGUACCGAGUGCUUUUUAAUGAGAUUUUUACAGGAAUACAUUUCUUAUUUUUUUGUGACUUUAAUAUACUGUGGCCUGGUAGAGGGUUGUUUUAGGUGUUUAAUGUUAAUUUGGGCUGGGGAGAUACUUUCAAGUUAUUUUUGAGACAUAAAGAUAUGCUAAGUUGUCUAAUAAAUCGAAAUUUCUCAAAAGUGACAAUUUGGACUAGUUGUGCACAUACAGUAAUUUCUUUUAAAAACCUAGACGAAAUGUUAAUAUAAAAGAAAGGGCAACUGGCCAAAAGAGGCAGUAAUAUACUCCAUAUUUUUAUUCCUCCAGAAAUUUUGUUGAUCCACUCACUUGUUUAGUCAGAACUUGGUAAAUUUAGGCAUUUCAGGCUUUCACUUUAUCUUAAAUUAGAUAAAGAGGAGUAAUCUUGAGACUAUAUUUGAGAGUCAUCUAGCAUUUUCUUUAUAGUUCUGGGGCAAAGCACUGAGGGAGUGCAGAAGAGGUGAAGAUUGUGGGGGAUUUUUGCACGCCAGAUACUCUCAUAAAAAUUUAAGUAACAGUGUUAGAUGUGAUUAAGUUCUGUGACUGGUGACACUUAACACCUUUAUAGACAAACAUAUGCCUGGACAAAUCACUUAACUGCCCUGGGCCUCAGUUUCUUAAUAUAAAAAAGAGAGGCUUGGGCUAGAGUCAGAAUUUCCUUUUAGCUUAAAUUUUACUGAUGUAAGCAUAUGAAUUUGAUUGGUUUAAAGUUGGAAAUUUUCCUGACAGUGGAGCAUUGUAAUUAUUCCUUUUUGCUCAGCUACCCUCCCCCACCAUCCUAUGGAAGAGAUUUGUGCAUUCUUUUUCUCCCUUAUAACUGAGUAGUUGGCAUAAAAUUUUGGCAAUAUGAUGUAUCUUCCCCCGCCCCCCCAUGUUGUCUGUGAUUAUCAGCAGGAGAAAAAAUUACUUAUUUGAAUUCAGAUCCAGCAUUUAAUCAACUUUGUAUCAGGUGGUGCCUUAGACUUUCUUAGUUGAAGUACAUAAUACAUUCAUUCAAAUUACUAGGGCAUGUGCAAUUGUGUUUCAUGAAGAUAAUAUAUAAAAAUAAAGUUUAAUUCUGUCUUGAUGCUGUAGAUAGGGAGUUUGUUUCAACAGGCCUUCCAACAUCUAACCCAGUCCUACCUUUUCAGCCUGUAUUCAGCUGCUCUCUUAUAUAAUUACUCUGCUUCAGCCAGGUUGAUGUUUUGCCUUUUCAAACAUACAUACAUGCUUUAUGUUUUCCUCCUCUUUUUUUCAAUAAAAAGUUCUCUUAGUCCUUUGAACCUCUGUAACCCUUUGUCUAAUCUUUAAGGUACUUAAAACUCUUCCAGUGUAGUUUUUUAUAUCUGUUUCUUCUGGUACAUUAGAGAAAAUACUAUUUUUUUUUGUACAUUUUUGUGUUCCUCCUGCCUUAUCCUUUAUCUUCUAUCUAGUGACUUGCAUGUAGGUGUUUAAGACCCUCAGGAGGAGAGUGAGCAGAGGUGAAGGAGGGAAAGUAAAAGGCCUACAAGUUUCGCAGUUAGGUACAAAUCUUGGUUCUACUUUUGUGUAGACAAGUUAUUUAACUUUUUGCCUCAACUUCCUUUAUCUACAAAAGGGGGUGGUUAUACCUUACUUUUUCAAGUUUGUUUCUCCAAAUUUAUUUUAUGUGUGUGUUUAUUUUUAAGUGGGGAAAAAGCCUUUUGAACCGCUGAGAACAAGUUUAUGGACUUGGUGUCUGGCACAUAUUAUGUGCUUAAUGUCCCACCCUAGUGCAGAAGUAGAAGGGGAGGAGGUGAGAGAAGACGCUGAACUGUCAGGUCAAUUAUUGUCAAACCUAGACUAUUCUCUGGAACUACAGGUUUUGUUAUCAUUGUUCUUUGAAAUGUUAAUUAGCUGAUUAUCACUAUUUGUUUUUCAUUUGCUUUGUAUGUUUAAACCUCCUGAAACUUUCAGUGAAUGAAAUAGCAAUGCUCCAGAGAAUUACUAUACUUUCUGGACCACAGAAGCAGAAAUUACUGUGGGCACUACUUUUUGUGUCAGUUUUUCUUCCUUGCUGUAAAUACUGGGGCAUGCUUUAUCACUUACCAGUAAGUAUAAUUUCUUUCAUUGGCAUGGGACUUGAUAAAUUCUGUACUGGGGAUUUUAAGUUUUUCAUUAAACUUGUAAGUCCUCAGCUGAUGUAACAAGUUUCAUAAGUAAAAUCAAAUCCUGUUAGAGUUGGAAGGACUUGUUGAGUGGAAAACUUUUACUCUCUGAGAUAUUUGGAGUCCUGUAAAUUAAUCAUGAUCAAAUCUCUACUCAGGGCACAUGAAUAUUUUUUGGUGUUUUAAUUAGAGUUUAGAAACAAAAUGGUUCUGGCUUUUGAUUUACUUAGUAGUUUUGGACCUUCUUACAUAAAAUGGGAAGGGAGUGGGGAUUAGUGUUUUCUACUCAUUUAGGGCGACAUAGGCCAACAAGUUUUUGUUUUGAAUGUGAAGGACUAAAGACAAAAAAUCCUAUCAUCUUUUUGUACUACUGCUUACGUGUACAAAAGAUACUACUUCUAGUGUACCACUAGAAGGUAGGUGGUUCCCUGAGGGUGAGAGCUUUUCUUGUCUUGUUUAUCAUUGUAGUCUUGUAUCUGACACUUAACUGGCUUGUUGAAUGGAUGAU